This 1324-nucleotide long non-coding RNA is filed under the name Cricetulus griseus (Chinese hamster). RNAcentral describes it as "lncRNA (ENSCGRG00015039118.1)". Lineage: Eukaryota; Metazoa; Chordata; Mammalia; Rodentia; Cricetidae. The record is from RNAcentral.
CAGGUUUUAUGAAGCUGGUCCCUUCACUUGAAAUGCUUGUUUUUGGGAUCCAGUAGCCCAUUGAAAGACCCAUGUGGAUAGGAGUCGAAACACAGAUUAUGACCAUAAACCAGACCAGGAGAUGUUUGGAAUUUGAUGAUGAUGAUGACUGCAUAGCCCUGGGAACACAGCAAAGUCCACCAAAUUAUACUUUAGAUGGCAGCUGAAUUGGAGUCUCGUUUUCUUGGGGGUGCACCGUCUCCAUUCCCCAGAAGCUAUGGGGUCACAGGUGACUUGGCUGGGCAUGCUCUUAUGCAAAACCUUUGAGGACCUAGCACUAUUCACACUGCUUCCAGGGAAACCUGUUUCAGGGUGUGCAUUUCCUCUUCUCAGGGCGUUUGCACACACUUCUACUCCAACUGUGUACCACCCUCCCUACCCUGCCUGGCUGGUUAAUUCUUAGUUGUCUUCCGGCUUCAGGUAAACCAUCAGUUUCCUCAGAAAAUGUGUUCCAACUUUGUCAUGUCAUUUGUACCCCUGCCAGCUCUCCUCUCAUAUUGUGUAUCACUCUGUCACCUCCCUUCUGUCAAGGCAGUGUCUUCUACCACCGGGUCCCUGUCCUCACAGUCCCUCUACACUGAGUCUUGCUGAAUGUCACUCCUUCUCUUCCUAAAAUUUCCCUGUUUUCUUUCUCUUCUAUUCUUUCAUCUUGUCUUUAAUGAAAGUUAUUAGAAUUGAAAUGGAAUCAUCCUUGUUAUGAAAGACUUAAAAAUUAGCAAAGAAAUAUAGCCCAGAUAAGGAAACUCUCCAAACAGAAUGUAGGGCAGCCUAACCCAGAAACUAACUAAGGCCACUACUAUGACUUAGUGCCUGGAAUUUACCAGCCACCAGCAAUUACUCCCUUACAAGGUCAUAAGAUAACUGGUUACCAAGAAUUCCCAGAUGGCCACCCUCCCCGAGAGGCUCAUGAAGGAAACAGAUUGUCCCACCGACCAGUGUGUCAAUAAUCAACAAUUAAGGGUCCCUAUGAAACAAAGAGAUAGCUAUCAUUUGCUCAGGAAAGAUUAGUUAGCACAUCCUGAGGUCUGCAGGUUUUACAGAUGGUCAGGAGGCCAUCUGAUUCCCAGCCCUCCCCUCAAGACAAAGGACCUCCUAGGAACCCAUGACUCUGGUCACGUACUCAAGGGACAGAGAGGCGAGGCCCUUCCCUAAGCUUGUAGUUUUUGCCUUUAAAAACACCUGUGCCUGGGGGACGGUGCUGCUCUCUAGCCUGCAUGCUGAGAGAGCCUGUUUGUACAAAUGUCCACCUUCCAUUAAAGCCUCUUGCUGUUUGCAUCAAGUUUCG